GCCUUCGUGGUGUAGAGGUCAAAACGCUUGACGCGUUUUUGAGAGGUCCGUGGUUCAAGUCCCGGCGAGGGCA
RNAcentral lists this transfer RNA (73 nucleotides) under Stegodyphus mimosarum. It matches the Rfam family "tRNA". Rfam says of the family: Transfer RNA (tRNA) molecules are approximately 80 nucleotides in length. Their secondary structure includes four short double-helical elements and three loops (D, anti-codon, and T loops). Further hydrogen bonds mediate the characteristic L-shaped molecular structure. tRNAs have two regions of fundamental functional importance: the anti-codon, which is responsible for specific mRNA codon recognition, and the 3' end, to which the tRNAs corresponding amino acid is attached (by aminoacyl-tRNA synthetases). tRNAs cope with the degeneracy of the genetic code in two manners: having more than one tRNA (with a specific anti-codon) for a particular amino acid; and 'wobble' base-pairing, i.e. permitting non-standard base-pairing at the 3rd anti-codon position. Lineage: Eukaryota; Metazoa; Arthropoda; Arachnida; Araneae; Eresidae. The record is from Rfam by way of RNAcentral.